This 465-nucleotide ribosomal RNA is filed under the name uncultured bacterium. Its description in RNAcentral is "partial 16S ribosomal RNA". It matches the Rfam family "Bacterial small subunit ribosomal RNA", at positions 338 to 795 of the family's 1533-position model. The record is from RNAcentral.
CCUACGGGCGGCAGCAGUAGGGAAUUUUCGUCAAUGGGCGCAAGCCUGAACGAGCAAUGCCGCGUGAACGAGGAAGGUCUUCGGAUCGUAAAGUUCUGUUGAAGGGGAAAAAGAGCGGAGAGAGGGAAUGAUCUCUGAUUGAUAUUACCCUUCGAGGAAGUCACGGCUAACUACGUGCCCGCAGCCGCGGUAAUACGUAGGUGGCGAGCGUUAUCCGGAUUGAUUGGGCGGAAAGGGUGCGUAGGCGGCCUGCUAAGUCUGGAGUGAAAGGUACCGGCUCAACCGGUACAGGCUCUGGAAACUGGCGGGCUAGAGGUCAAGAGAGGGCGGUGGAACUCCAUGUGUAGCGGUAAAAUGCGUAGAUAUAUGGAAGAACACCAGUGGCGAAGGCGGCCGCCUGGCCUGUUGACUGACGCUGAGUCACGAAAGCGUGGGGAGCAAAUAGGAUUAGAUACCCCAGUAGUC